ACUGCAUUAAUGUGAUCCCCUGACAGUGUUCUCUAGAAUAAGCAGGCCCAGCUUCCAGUCUCCCCUCAUAAAAGAGAAGCUCCAGGCCCCAAAUGAUCUUUGUGGGCCCCCACUGGACCCUCUCUUAUAGCUCCUUGUCUUUCUUGUACUGAGGACCCCAGAAUCACAAGUGUGCCUCCUCACUUAAAAGCAGAUAUGCUGGAUAAAUGCCUUACUCCUUUGUAGCAGAUUUUCUUCCAAUGCAGAAAUAAGUUUUUUCAAUUGUAUCUUCCAAUUUAGAGACUUGUCUUUUAUGUUUUUUAAUCCAAAAUUAUUUUUUAAUGUUUUCUGCUAAACACCAAAUAAAUAACUAAAUUAAUUAAUUAAUAGAAAUACAAUAGCUUUCCUGACCACCAAACAGAGAUUGGUUUAUGUUUCUGAGCUUCUGAAUAUUUGUGAUUGUUCACUGCUAGGCUGUAUCAGAACUGCAGUGUUUGAGGAAGGGAAGGCAGUUUUGCAGAACAUGCUGAAAAGUUACAUAAGACACAAUCGUGAUUACACUGUUUUAAUUCUGUUGUGUACAAAACGUAUUUACACUGACUUCCAGAAAGGUUAACUUCCAUAACAAUUCUCUAUAUGUGCCACAUGAAAAACAAAGGACUUAGUGCCCCGUUUGUGCAUUCUGGGUCAGGAAAUGCUGGAAGUGUCUAUUUCUAGAAAAUGGUAGCUGGCUGUACCUGAGCCCAAUGUUUUCCAUUGCUGCACAUCAUGAGACUCUUGGUGAACAAUUCCCUGGACAUGGGAGGUUCAAAUUUCUGAAAGGCUUAGCCAGGUCUUUUAGCAUGCUGUUUAAGAAGAAAAGAGAGAGAAGUCAGUAUGUACUGCAUCGGUACAGGACAACACAUAAAUGUCUCAAGGGCACAACUUUUCUCCUUCAGGAUGAACUGUUAGAGCAAAGGACAGCCUUCCAGCAGCCCUGUAUGUAUGGAAACACAGAGGACAUUUUGAAGGGAGAAGAAAGUAGUCAGGAAAGAAGUUCAAUUAUUUAUGGAGAGCAGAUGGAUUUAGCAAACCUGCCUGCUGAGACAGAGGCAUGACUGUGCAAAUCAGGGCAAGGCUGAUGGAGCAAAAAAGCCAGAGCAGGCCUCUCAUGGAUGAUGCUGUUCAGGACCUCCAUGCUCCUCUGUGGUACCACACCUCUCCAGGACUUUUUGGUCAGCAUUAAGAAAAUCUGCUCAGAGGGUAGUUUUCCUCUCCCUGUAUCACAGAAUUUUUCUAUUUAUAAUUGUACCUAGAAUUAUUAAAAUAUCCUUAAAUCUCUCUAGUCUAUUUAUAUGUUAUAUAAUUAGGGCUGGAGGAAUGAGGCGUACCUUACAGAUCAACAACAUACCAGUAAUGCUGAAUGUACCUUCCCUUCCAUUAUUUUAUUUAAAAGCAUCUAAGACCAGUAGGAUAACAUGCUGAAAAUAUAAAUCAUGUUGCCUUUUGAUGCAAUUGAGAAGCUAGAAAUAAGGAAGAGAAACACAUUUACAUAUUACAGUAUUAUAGACACACGUAGGAUGAAUACUCACUGUAGCUUGUAGUAAAAUUUUUAACACAGGUAGUAAUAGGACAUAAUUGCAAUUGAGGUGUUUAAGGGAGGGUGCUUCUCAUACAAACUAACCACAAGAACAAUUAGAGGUGCAAAAGUCCAUGUUCCUUAUGUGCUCUUAGUCACAGAGUAUAUUCCACUAUGAACAAACCCAGGGGUUGUGAUCUUUAGUUCUGAAAAUCAACUAACCUCAUAAUUACAGGUUUUUAUAUAACUAAAGGAGGCUUCUUUUGAUCUGCAUUUCUUUUAGACCGUUUUGCUUUAUGUCAAAAUAAUCACUGACCUGGGUUGCACAGGGGACAUCUCUGAGCAAUGUAAGUGAGAUUUUCUUGCUAUAAAACUCCCCUCUCCCUGAGGGUUGUGGAUCUUUAAUUUACAGAAGGCAAAACUGCUUGGAAGUCCCUACCAUGAUUGAAGUGGCUUGUAGUUACAAAAACUGUGUAUUCCUCCUGGCAAUAUUAGCCUUUUUUAGCUCAAGCAAGCCCCAUAAAACCUUAGAAUAUCAUUUGUUUUCAGUAGUCACAACGAAUUUCUCACUAAUGGAAAGAGUGCAAUGCAGAACAGAUUGAUUGCCAUAAAGAUGAUUUAUUGUGUUUACUGUUUCAUUAAAACAAGCAAUUAGCCAAAGCUUUAAGUGUGACAGACUUUUUUUUGUGGGGAUUCGUUGAUGAUGAAAGCACAUGUUUCUCCAGGAUGGGAGUUCCUGUUCAUUCACAAAGUCAGCAAGACAACUUACAGCCCAAAUUCAACAAGGAACAUGACAAGGAGCUGUGUCUUUUCUCACCACUCCAAUUCCGUUUCUGGAGAGCAACCUUUGCCUCCUAACCCUUUGUGGGGACACGUGCCCAGGGUUGUCCUAGCUGUGCUGAAAGGCAUGGACCAGGGCAGAACUAGGACUUUGCCACAGCCCCCAGCUCCACUACUCCUUCUGCUCAGUGGCACACAAACAUUACUCCCUGGUGAGGAAGCUCAUUUCCCCCCAUAUGCUCUUAAUUUUGGGCAAUAAAUAAAUAAUAUGCCUGGAACA
Cyanistes caeruleus (blue tit) is the source of this 2597-nucleotide long non-coding RNA. Lineage: Eukaryota; Metazoa; Chordata; Aves; Passeriformes; Paridae. The record is from Ensembl.